This 492-nucleotide ribosomal RNA is filed under the name uncultured bacterium. Its description in RNAcentral is "partial 16S ribosomal RNA". It matches the Rfam family "Bacterial small subunit ribosomal RNA", at positions 29 to 507 of the family's 1533-position model. The record is from RNAcentral.
AGUGAACGCUGGCGGUAGGCCUAACACAUGCAAGUCGAACGGCGGCACAGUAAGAGCUUGCUCUUACGGGUGGCGAGUGGCGGACGGGUGAGGAAUACAUCGGAAUCUACUUUUUCGUGGGGGAUAACGUAGGGAAACUUACGCUAAUACCGCAUACGACCUACGGGUGAAAGCAGGGGAUCUUCGGACCUUGCGCGAUUGAAUGAGCCGAUGUCGGAUUAGCUAGUUGGCGGGGUAAAGGCCCACCAAGGCGACGAUCCGUAGCUGGUCUGAGAGGGUGAUCAGCCACACUGGAACUGAGACACGGUCCAGACCCCUACGGGAGGCAGCAGUGGGGAAUAUUGGACAAUGGGCGCAAGCCUGAUCCAGCCAUACCGCGUGGGUGAAGAAGGCCUUCGGGUUGUAAAGCCCUUUUGUUGGGAAAGAAAAGCAGCAGGUUAAUACCCCGCUGUUCUGACGGUACCCAAAGAAUAAGCACCGGCUAACUUCGUG